This 515-nucleotide ribosomal RNA is filed under the name uncultured bacterium. RNAcentral describes it as "bacterial SSU rRNA". It matches the Rfam family "Bacterial small subunit ribosomal RNA", at positions 28 to 526 of the family's 1533-position model. The record is from RNAcentral.
GACGAACGCUGGCGGCGUGCCUAAUACAUGCAAGUCGAGCGGACCAAAGGGAGCUUGCUCCUGGAGGUUAGCGGCGAACGGGUGAGUAACACGUGGGCAACCUGCCUGUAAGACUGGGAUAACAUCGAGAAAUCGGUGCUAAUACCGGAUAAUAAAAAGAACUGCAUGGUUCUUUUUUGAAAGAUGGUUUCGGCUAUCACUUACAGAUGGGCCCGCGGCGCAUUAGCUAGUUGGUGAGGUAACGGCUCACCAAGGCAACGAUGCGUAGCCGACCUGAGAGGGUGAUCGGCCACACUGGGACUGAGACACGGCCCAGACUCCUACGGGAGGCAGCAGUAGGGAAUCUUCCGCAAUGGACGAAAGUCUGACGGAGCAACGCCGCGUGAGUGAUGAAGGUUUUCGGAUCGUAAAACUCUGUUGUUAGGGAAGAACAAGUGCCGUUCGAAAGGGCGGCACCUUGACGGUACCUAACGNGAAAGCCACGGCUAACUACGUGCCAGCAGCCGCGGUAAAGU